UCCUGAAUCAAAGCCACUAAUUCAGAAUUCUUUGUCUUUAAGGUGGAGGACAAAGAAGCCUCAAGAGCUUGUAACAAAGAUGAUGAUGUGGGAAACCAUGUCCCCCUGUUCUCCCAGGUGCCAUCAAGACCAUUGCCAGACCUACCACGUCAGCAGUCCUGCAGACAGUGAGGGGUGACGUGGCUGUCACUCCUUCACCAGCUCAGGCAUUCUCAGAGCUCUGGCUUUGCACCCUGUACUAUUCUGUACCUGUGUUUGGGGACACGGACAUCUCACCAGAAUCCUUAUUGAAAAGCAGCACAGUAAUGGUAUUUAGAACAUUAUGCAAAGGAAUACACAUCAAAAUACCUGGAAUGAUGGUUCAUCAAAGACUUGAAAUUCACAGUGUUGCCCAGUCCUCUUUUUGGUGAUCUUUUGGAGUCUUUUCCGUAACUGGUGUGUUGCUGAAAGAUAAGUGUGAGAUAGUUAAUAGGAUCCUCCCAGCACUGAGCACCUCUGGCAGUUCACUGCAUUUUUGGAAUUCACACUUUCAGUUUGUCAUUCCCCAAACAGUCCCAGCUCUUCACCUUCUGUGCUUCAGUUUCCUAAUGUAUCACUUCCGUGCCACUGUUCUCUUUGGGCAGUGCUGCUCAUGUUUAAAGGCCUGUGGAAACAAGAGUCAGGACCAAGCAGGCUCAAAGAGUGCAAAGCUCUGUUUUUCUGGUAGUGAAAUAGUGGUUUAAAUACAGCCAAAUCCUGUGUCUGUAACAGUACUGCAUUUAAGGACAAGAAUUCUUUUAAGAGCUAUUUUUUUGCCAUUCUUGUGAAUCUGAAGCAAUAGUUUUGCUGGUUUGUGCUGUGUAAUUUCAAUAUGCAGCAACCACUCCAAGUUGGAUAAUCUGGAAUCCACGCACGCUUUGCAGUUCCAAGAUAAUUUGAUCUGAAUAGCAGUUUCAUGUAAAUGUUUUGGCAGUAAUGAAAAUAUCCUCAACAUUACUACUUGCAGCUUGAAACACCAGUAAUGAUUUUAUGUGUUGGCAAUGAAAGAACAUGAUAGGCAGGUUAAAAUC
Molecule: long non-coding RNA, 1049 nt
Filed under: Manacus vitellinus (golden-collared manakin)
Lineage: Eukaryota; Metazoa; Chordata; Aves; Passeriformes; Pipridae
Description: lncRNA (ENSMVIG00005006236.1)
Source: RNAcentral